CUUAAAAGCACACAACUCGAUGCGGACAAUCCGUUUAAUAUUUCCUUACCGGAAAAGAAAUGCAUUUUGUUUGUGUAAUUCUUGUCUCUUUAUUUUCACGAGCGCAAGUACAGUAGAAUGUCACGAAUAACCUACACCUUUGGUGCAAAUUGAAUGCAGUGCCAUCGGUAAAUCAAACUGAGUACGCACGUUGCCGCUCUCUCUCUAUCCAUCGGACCGCUCUCUCGCGUUCUAGUCAAAGCCUCGCUUCCGUCUCCCUUUUGAUCUGUCCUUGAACAUCAUCGCUCUCCCAACACUCGCUCUCUCUCUAACACUAACAACAAUGCAGCUAUGAGACGUGCAGUGGACAAGUCGGUGCGUGCAUUGGUGUA
This 371-nucleotide long non-coding RNA is filed under the name Drosophila guanche. The record is from RNAcentral. Lineage: Eukaryota; Metazoa; Arthropoda; Insecta; Diptera; Drosophilidae.